RNAcentral lists this ribosomal RNA (422 nucleotides) under uncultured bacterium. RNAcentral describes it as "bacterial SSU rRNA". It matches the Rfam family "Bacterial small subunit ribosomal RNA", at positions 355 to 774 of the family's 1533-position model. The record is from RNAcentral.
UGAGGAAUAUUGGGCAAUGCCCGCAAGGGUGACCCAGCAACGCCGCGUGGAGGAUGAAUGUCGUAAGAUUGUAAACUCCUGUUAGAGGGGAAGAAUAGUACCGGUUGGACCGGUAUAUGACUGUACCCUCAGAGAAAGCCCCGGCUAACUACGUGCCAGCAGCCGCGGUAAUACGUAGGGGGCAAGCGUUGUCCGGAUUUACUGGGUGUAAAGGGCGCGCAGGCGGGAUAAAAAGUCAGUGGUGAAAUCCUACAGCUUAACUGUAGAACUGCCUUUGAUACUUUUAUUCUUGAGUUCGGGAGAGAGUGACGGAAUUCCUGGUGUUGUGGUGAAAUACGUAGAUAUCUGGAAGAACACCAGUUGCGAAGGCGGUCUCUUGGUCCGACACUGACGCUGAGGCGCGAAAGCGUGGGGAGCAAACA